AGCAAUGGUCGCCAAAGUUUAUGUCACAAGCUUUUCCAAUAGUACUAAUUUUACAGCGAUCAGAUUCUGUUGGGAAAUCAACGGUUAAAAUUGUUUGUGAUGUAUUGAAAUUAUCGAGGACUGGAUCGGAGAAUCAGAUGCCACCAUCAUUGUCUACGCGCUGUCCCUGGUCCGAAGGCGCGCUCGGAUCGUCGAUCGGACUCCGGCAGCUGAAGGUGAG
This 220-nucleotide long non-coding RNA is filed under the name Ricinus communis (castor bean). RNAcentral's name for it is "long non-coding RNA (RCOM_LNC002286)". The record is from RNAcentral. Lineage: Eukaryota; Viridiplantae; Streptophyta; Magnoliopsida; Malpighiales; Euphorbiaceae.